CCCGCCUCCCCGGGCCCUCCGGUGAGCCCGCGGAGCCCUGUAGACUCCGCCUUCUCGAGGGCUCGGCGUUGCUAGCUGCGGCGAACUUCUUUCCCCCCAAAGCGAGAGUCAGGAAGUAGAAAGGCUUCCUCUGAGUGUUCUCGUCGGUUCUGUUUUGGAAGCCUCAGAAUCUUCUGGGUACUCAGAUUGCUGCAAAGUACAAGCUGUACUUCGUUGGGCCCGGAGAGGCACCGGCUUUUGGAGGACUCUGGCUCGCUUCCGGGCUCCGCCCCGUGCUGGCUGCGGACCUGGCAGAAGAGCCUUUUUAUCUAAGUGUCCAUGUCUGGAAGGGACAGUAGUCUACCUAGAGCUGUUCUGAGCCCAGAGUAGAAAUUGUGUGGUGCUAAAUAGCUGUUCACCUUCCUUACACUGGAAAGCGGUGUAAUGAUUAACCGACCCAACCUGUCGAGAAUAUUUCCGGAAAUCUUUUAAGAGAGGUUACGUUUAUUGAUUUCUGAGUAUUAGGCAAUGUUCCAAAAGCUUUUAAAAUCCUAGUAGCAACCCUAUGAAAUCGGAAAUUACCCUCGUUUUACAACUGUGUCUCCUUCCUUUUAUGAUUUUGUGAGUAAAGAAUUUUAAUUUGCCAGCCAGGCACGGUGGCUCAGUCCUGUAAUCCCAGCACUUUGGAGGCCAAGGCCGGCAGAUCACCUGAGGUUGGGAGUUCGAGACCAGCCUAGCCAACAUGGAGAAACCCUGUCUCUACUAAAAAUACAAAAUUAGCUGGGCAUGGUGACACAUACCUAUAAUCCCAGCUACUCGGAGGGCUGAGGCCGAAGAAUCAGUUGAACCUGGGAGUUGGAAGUUGCAGGUGAGCCAAGAUUGCACCACUGCACUCCAGCCUGGGCAACAAGAAGGAAACUCCAUCUCAAAAAAAAAGAAUUUUAAUUUUCCAACAGAUCCUAAUGUGGACUUUUUCAAGUUGUGAAAUAAAGUGAUUUUUGGUAUGAAAA
Long non-coding RNA from Callithrix jacchus (white-tufted-ear marmoset), 989 nucleotides. RefSeq lists it as uncharacterized. NCBI's taxonomy places the organism in Eukaryota, Metazoa, Chordata, Mammalia, Primates, Cebidae. The record is from RefSeq and is a predicted model, not a curated record.